RNAcentral lists this ribosomal RNA (254 nucleotides) under uncultured bacterium. Its description in RNAcentral is "partial 16S ribosomal RNA". It matches the Rfam family "Bacterial small subunit ribosomal RNA", at positions 524 to 776 of the family's 1533-position model. The record is from RNAcentral.
UACGUAGGGGGCAAGCGUUACCCGGAUUUACUGGGCGUAAAGCGCGUGUAGGCGGCUGGCCAAGUGUGGUGUGAAAUCCCCCGGCUCAACCGGGGAACUGCAUUGCAAACUGGUCUGGCUAGAGUGCAGGAGAGGGAAGUGGAAUUCCCGGUGUAGCGGUGAAAUGCGUAGAUAUCAGGAGGAACACCGGUGGUGUAGACGGCUUACUGGACCAUAACUGACGCUGAGACACGAAAGCGUGGGUAGCAAACAGG